This 807-nucleotide unclassified non-coding RNA is filed under the name Hevea brasiliensis (rubber tree). Lineage: Eukaryota; Viridiplantae; Streptophyta; Magnoliopsida; Malpighiales; Euphorbiaceae. The record is from RNAcentral.
GUGCCAAAAGGCAUUGCACUGCUUAUGAAAGAGCGAAUCGCAUCUCUAUCCAGAGACCUCAAACCAAUCUUUGGAGCAUCAGAUGCCAUUGCUCCGCUUGCUGCAGCUCCAGAAGCUGUUGAUCCUGCAACAGGAGCAGCUACAGGUUUUGCUCUUGCCGAAAUACCAAUACUUCCGGUGAGAGAAUCCAACAACCCACCCACUGAUGGAGAUGCACUUAUGACUAUUUCAGGUUCUGUCACAUCGCCUGUUAUGAUGUCUCCUAUCAUGUGGCCAACCAUAAAUGCCCCUGUGAUUGAUGGAAGAUUGAGCAGGAGGGGGGAUAAACUUUCAUCAGCUCCAACAGCAUUUCCACAGUCAGAUCUUUUACACAUCCUUGUAUACGUUUUUAGAUGAUCUGGUUCCACUAAAGGCAGUACAAGGAUACAGUAGUGUCCCUUUAUGUGCAAAAUAAGUGGCCACAAAACAAGUUUCUUUUCCUCUUCAUUUUUAGUGCACAAACUUAUUAUGUGACGCGUAAUCGGAUCAUCAACCCAUGAAUCUGAACCUUCAACUGACUGAUUUAUCCUAAUGCCAAAUCCACGAGCAGAUCCCUCCCUUUUCUUGCGGUCAACGAAAGCAUCAGCUAUCUCUGAAUCAGUAGGAAGAGAAGGCACCACAUUAUAUUUCAAAUCAUCCUCCAUAAAACUCUUACUCCUCUCGCAUGCCGCCCGCCACCGCUUCUCCACCACCGGAAAUCUCCGGGAGAAAACAACGGUGUCUUGAUUGGUGAGGAUCCAGAGAGCUCUGAUACAACACGAACUCGGC